Long non-coding RNA from Suricata suricatta (meerkat), 123 nucleotides. RefSeq lists it as uncharacterized. The record is from RefSeq and is a predicted model, not a curated record. NCBI's taxonomy places the organism in Eukaryota, Metazoa, Chordata, Mammalia, Carnivora, Herpestidae. The transcript has 2 exons.
CCACCCAUAUGCCCCUCCCUGAAUUAUAUACUUUAAAUAGCUCCACUGGACGCCCCACACCCAGCAGUUAGGAGAUUAGAAAGACACCAUCUGCUGAUUAAUAAACAGACAUGUAUUCACUUA